Molecule: non-coding RNA, 30 nt
Filed under: Homo sapiens (human)
Lineage: Eukaryota; Metazoa; Chordata; Mammalia; Primates; Hominidae
Source: RNAcentral
UGAAAUUGUGUUGCCAGAUAGUCCAUUUGU